UAAUGCCUUUGGAUGAAAUUUAAGAC
Molecule: non-coding RNA, 26 nt
Filed under: Mus musculus (house mouse)
Lineage: Eukaryota; Metazoa; Chordata; Mammalia; Rodentia; Muridae
Source: RNAcentral